RNAcentral lists this ribosomal RNA (468 nucleotides) under uncultured bacterium. RNAcentral describes it as "partial 16S ribosomal RNA". It matches the Rfam family "Bacterial small subunit ribosomal RNA", at positions 28 to 507 of the family's 1533-position model. The record is from RNAcentral.
GACGAACGCUGGCGGCGUGCUUAACACAUGCAAGUCGAACGGAAAGGCCCUGCUUUUGUGGGGUGCUCGAGGGGCGAACGGGUGAGUAACACGUGAGUAACCUGCCCUUGACUUUGGGAUAACUUCAGGAAACUGGGGCUAAUACCGGAUAGGAGCUCCUGCUGCAUGGUGGGGGUUGGAAAGUUUCGGCGGUUGGGGAUGGACUCGCGGCUUAUCAGCUUGUUGGUGGGGUAGUGGCUUACCAAGGCUUUGACGGGUAGCCGGCCUGGGAGGGGGACCGGCCACAUUGGGACUGCGCUACGGCCCAGACUCCUACGGGAGGCAGCGGUGGGGAAUAUUGCACAAUGGGCGGAAGCCUAGUGCAGCAACGCCGCGUGCGGGAUGACGGCCUUCGGGUUGUAAACCGCUUUCGCCUGUGACGAAGCGUGAGUGACGGUACUGGGUAAAGAAGCACCGGCUAACUACGUG